Molecule: long non-coding RNA, 1485 nt
Organism: Quercus robur (English oak)
Lineage: Eukaryota; Viridiplantae; Streptophyta; Magnoliopsida; Fagales; Fagaceae
Exons: 2
Source: RefSeq, a predicted model, not a curated record
UCAACUAUCAAUUUAUACCUCUUAGAAGGUUGUCAACAGUUGGGAUUUUUCCAAGAGCUGUGUAGUCCACCCGAAGAACACCACCUUCCAUGGACCUUGUCCCUUCAGAUGCUCUUCCAAGGAAGGGUGCAAAUUCCUGUAUAAUUCCUAAGGGCAUCAUAGUGCAACCAAACCUUAAAUACUCCAUUUCUUUACUAGCAUCUACACUGCUCUAUCGGGACCAGAAAAGGGAGAAAUUAUUGGUUCCUCCGGGAGGACCACUGAUGUGGUCCUCCAUGCUCCUGCCAACAAAUAGGAAAGAAACACGUGUCCUUUUUGGGUGAUUCAGCUCCACAUCAGCUCCAAACCAAUGGCUUAAAUCUCAUCCAUUUAUUCAAUCCAAUGGCUCUUAAAUUUGACACAUCAUCAAAUUAUAAAAAGACAAUUUCACCCCCUAAAAUAUUUCAAACCCUGCGUCUGCUUUUAUCUCUUCCUCUGGAACAAAUAUCAAAAUUCUCUCUCUCUCGCUCUCACAGAUUGAAGCUUUCUCUCUUCACGGCACAGCCACUGGCCCGGAUCUCCGGUUACGACAAUGCUGGCCUUUUUCUCAUCGGAAAAUCCCUAAAAUCCCUGCUGGUACAGUCACCAAAUUUCAAAAUUUUUCUCUCUUCCACCAAACCUUGCUGUACGUGGGACAUCAGCGUCGAUUCUCCAUGACCAUGGCUACAACUGGAAGCCUCCAAGACUCACACGACCACCACCGGCGAUGCUUGCUGGCCUGACCUUCUCCUCUCUUUAGGUCUCUGUUUUUUCACUCUCUUAAGUCCAGCCGUGGCCAAGCUUCUGCUUGCACCGCGACACCACCAUUUCUGAUACCGUUCAUUGGAUCUCAUUCCAUACUUGUGAGGGCAGUUGUGGUGAAUGCUAAUCUGGAUGAUUUGGAAGCAUGAACAUCCAUUGGUUUAAAGCUACAUGUAUCUCUAUAGGAUCUAGCCGACAAUUGUUUUUUGCUUGGUGAGGUGUGCAUGCAAAAGAAGACUCCUCAAAACAAUUUGGAAACCAACUUGGACAUAUCAACUCUUGAAUAAGCGGAGUGUUAUGGCAAAUUUAAUUUGUAUAAGAGGCUUUCUCUCUUGGGGUUGCAGACUGCAGUUAAUAAAAUUAGAGAAGUGCUGUGGUUUGAUUCUUGUUAACAAGAAAAAAAUUUAGCCUUUGCUGGCCAUCUUGUAUUUAUCACCCAUAUACAGCUUUGUCAACAAUAAUGAGAACAUCUUGUAUUUAUCACCAUAUAUCUUGAGUAAAGGGGAAAAAAGAGAGUAUGAAUGGACUUGUUCUGGCCAGUUGGUGUUGUGUUUUUGCCUUCUAUUGUUGCUACGAAAUUGAAUAGCCGAGCAAUUUAUUGCAUCUUCAUGUUGUAGUUGAUUUUGUGCGGCUAAGCUGAUUUUGUGUUGACGAAUAUAUUUAAUGUAUACAAUUUUGUUUAUGUUAUAUGCUUUAUUUAAUUCA